This 355-nucleotide ribosomal RNA is filed under the name uncultured Allobrachymonas sp. RNAcentral's name for it is "bacterial SSU rRNA". It matches the Rfam family "Bacterial small subunit ribosomal RNA", at positions 1021 to 1382 of the family's 1533-position model. The record is from RNAcentral. Lineage: Bacteria; Pseudomonadati; Pseudomonadota; Betaproteobacteria; Burkholderiales; Comamonadaceae.
GAGAACCUGCACGACAGGUGCUGCGAUGGCUGUCGUCAGCUCGUGUCGUGAGAUGUUCGGGUUAAGUCCCGCAACGAGCGCAACCCUUGCCAUUAGUUGCUACGAAAGGGCACUCUAAUGGGACUGCCGGUGACAAACCGGAGGAAGUGGGGAUGACGUCAAGUCCUCAUGGCCCUUAUAGGUGGGGCUACACACGUCAUACAAUGGCCGGUACAGAGGGUAGCCAACCCGCAGGGGGAGCCAAUCCCACAAAGCCGGUCGUAGUCCGGAUCGCAGUCUGCAACUCGACUGCGUGAAGUCGGAAUCGCUAGUAAUCGCGGAUCAGCAUGUCGCGGUGAAUACGUUCCCGGGUCUU